CCACCACUAAGCCAGUGGUGAACUCCACAUACGCAUCCUUUGCUGAGGAUACGGUUAACGGAGCGAAAGCGACGUUCAACCUCAAAAGAAGCAGAGGGGGCUUAGUGGUGGGGUGACUGCGUACCUUUUGUAUAAUGGGUCAGCGACUUAUAUUCUGUAGCAAGGUUAACCGCAUAGGGGAGCCGUAGGGAAACCGAGUCUUAACCGGGCGUUAAGUUGCAGGGUAUAGACCCGAAACCCGGUGAUCUAGCCAUGGGCAGGUUGAAGGUUGGGUAACACUAACUGGAGGACCGAACCGACUAAUGUUGAAAAAUUAGCGGAUGACCUGUGGCUGGGGGUGAAAGGCCAAUCAAACCGGGAGAUAGCUGGUUCUCCCCGAAAGCUAUUUAGGUAGCGCCUCGUGAACUCAUCUCCGGGGGUAGAGCACUGUUUCGGCUAGGGGGCCAUCCCGGCUUACCAACCCGAUGCAAACUGCGAAUACCGAAGAAUGUUAUCACGGGAGACACACGGCGGGUGCUAACGUCCGUCGUGAAGAGGGAAACAACCCAGACCGCCAGCUAAGGUCCCAAAGUCAUGGUUAAGUGGGAAACGAUGUGGGAAGGCACAGACAGCCAGGAUGUUGGCUUAGAAGCAGCCAUCAUUUAAAGAAAGCGUAAUAGCUCACUGGUCGAGUCGGCCUGCGCGGAAGAUGUAACGGGGCUAAACCAUGCACCGAAGCUGCGGCAGCGACACUAUGUGUUGUUGGGUAGGGGAGCGUUCUGUAAGCCGUUGAAGGUGUCCUGUGAGGGAUGCUGGAGGUAUCAGAAGUGCGAAUGCUGACAUAAGUAACGAUAAUGCGGGUGAAAAACCCGCACGCCGGAAGACCAAGGGUUCCUGUCCAACGUUAAUCGGGGCAGGGUGAGUCGACCCCUAAGGCGAGGCCGAAAGGCGUAGUCGAUGGGAAACAGGUUAAUAUUCCUGUACUUGGUGUUACUGCGAAGGGGGGACGGAGAAGGCUAUGUUGGCCGGGCGACGGUUGUCCCGGUUUAAGCGUGUAGGUGUGUGUUCCAGGUAAAUCCGGUUCACUUUAACACUGAGGCGUGAUGACGAGGCACUACGGUGCUGAAGUGACAAAUGCCCUGCUUCCAGGAAAAGCCUCUAAGCAUCAGGUAACACGAAAUCGUACCCCAAACCGACACAGGUGGUCAGGUAGAGAAUACCAAGGCGCUUGAGAGAACUCGGGUGAAGGAACUAGGCAAAAUGGUGCCGUAACUUCGGGAGAAGGCACGCUGAUAUGUAGGUGAAGCGGUUUACCCGUGGAGCUGAAAUCAGUCGAAGAUACCAGCUGGCUGCAACUGUUUAUUAAAAACACAGCACUGUGCAAACACGAAAGUGGACGUAUACGGUGUGACGCCUGCCCGGUGCCGGAAGGUUAAUUGAUGGGGUUAUCCGUAAGGAGAAGCUC
Molecule: ribosomal RNA, 1444 nt
Filed under: Salmonella enterica subsp. enterica serovar Kintambo
Lineage: Bacteria; Pseudomonadati; Pseudomonadota; Gammaproteobacteria; Enterobacterales; Enterobacteriaceae
Description: partial 23S ribosomal RNA
Rfam family: Bacterial large subunit ribosomal RNA
Source: RNAcentral